AGGGGGCAUCCCCUUGGGUUCAAAGGAGAGAUCCGGUACCGGCUGGGCAUGCGGCGCAUUAGCUAGUUGGCGGGGCAACGGCCCACCAAGGCGACGAUGCGUAGGGGUUCUGAGAGGAAGGUCCCCCACACUGGAACUGAGACACGGUCCAGACUCCUACGGGAGGCAGCAGUGAGGAAUAUUGGUCAAUGGGCGCAAGCCUGAACCAGCCAAGUCGCGUGAGGGAAGACGGCCCUACGGGUUGUAAACCUCUUUUGCCGGGGAGCAAGCCUGAGCACGUGUGCCCAGGCGGAGAGUACCCGGAGAAAAAGCAUCGGCUAACUCCGUGCCAGCAGCCGCGGUAAUACGGAGGAUGCGAGCGUUAUCCGGAUUUAUUGGGUUUAAAGGGUGCGCAGGCGGGCUGUUAAGCCGGCGGUAAAAAUUCAGGGCUCAACCCUGUCGAGCCGUCGGAACUGGCAGUCUUGAGUGGGCGAGAAGUAUGCGGAAUGCGUGGUGUAGCGGUGAAAUGCAUAGAUAUCACGCAGAACGCCGAUUGCGAAGGCAGCAUACCGGCGCCCAACUGACGCUGAGGCACGAAAGCGUGGGGAUCGAACAGGAUUAGAUACCCUGGUAGUCCACGCAGUAAACGAUGAGCGCUAACUGUCCGGAGCGAGCGAGCUCUGGGU
RNAcentral lists this ribosomal RNA (665 nucleotides) under uncultured bacterium. RNAcentral's name for it is "bacterial SSU rRNA". It matches the Rfam family "Bacterial small subunit ribosomal RNA", at positions 183 to 844 of the family's 1533-position model. The record is from RNAcentral.